Molecule: long non-coding RNA, 262 nt
Organism: Suricata suricatta (meerkat)
Lineage: Eukaryota; Metazoa; Chordata; Mammalia; Carnivora; Herpestidae
Exons: 3
Source: RefSeq, a predicted model, not a curated record
CGGAAGGUCAGAAGCCAGUGGAUAGAAUUUAUACAGGCCAGUCUCCUGGGGCUAAGGGUGCUCCACUACUUGGAAGGCUUUCCUUUCUGACCAAAUUCUCAGCUUUUGAAGAGCUCUACUUGGAACAAUGUGAGAUGAAGGACACCCUUUAGCCAUCCAGAGUUUGCUGCCUGGGGAAAUGUUGAGGACCACGGACAGAAUCAAUGGGAACAAUGAAUUGGGGGAAAGGGCUGGGGCCUGGGCACCUCUGUGAGCUGUGGUU